This 466-nucleotide ribosomal RNA is filed under the name uncultured bacterium. RNAcentral's name for it is "partial 16S ribosomal RNA". It matches the Rfam family "Bacterial small subunit ribosomal RNA", at positions 29 to 507 of the family's 1533-position model. The record is from RNAcentral.
UAUUAACGCUGGCGGCGUGCUUAACACAUGCAAGUCGAACGGAAAGGCUCCUGCUUGCAGGGGUACUCGAGUGGCGAACGGGUGAGUAACACGUGGGUGAUCUGCCCUGCACUUCGGGAUAAGCCUGGGAAACUGGGUCUAAUACCGGAUAGGACGAUGGUUUGGAUGCCAUUGUGGAAAGUUUUUUCGGUGUGGGAUGAGCUCGCGGCCUAUCAGCUUGUUGGUGGGGUAAUGGCCUACCAAGGCGUCGACGGGUAGCCGGCCUGAGAGGGUGUACGGCCACAUUGGGACUGAGAUACGGCCCAGACUCCUACGGGAGGCAGCAGUGGGGAAUAUUGCACAAUGGGCGCAAGCCUGAUGCAGCGACGCCGCGUGGGGGAUGACGGCCUUCGGGUUGUAAACUCCUUUCGCUAGGGACGAAGCACAAGUGACGGUACCUGGAGAAGAAGCACCGGCUAACUACGUG